Molecule: ribosomal RNA, 1395 nt
Filed under: uncultured organism
Description: 16S ribosomal RNA
Rfam family: Bacterial small subunit ribosomal RNA
Source: RNAcentral
CGAACGCUGGCGGCGUGCUUAACACAUGCAAGUCGAACGGAAAGGCCCUGCUUUUGUGGGGUGCUCGAGUGGCGAACGGGUGAGUAACACGUGAGUAACCUGCCCUUGACUUUGGGAUAACUUCAGGAAACUGGGGCUAAUACCGGAUAGGAGCUCCUGCUGCAUGGUGGGGGUUGGAAAGUUUCGGCGGUUGGGGAUGGACUCGCGGCUUAUCAGCUUGUUGGUGGGGUAGUGGCUUACCAAGGCUUUGACGGGUAGCCGGCCUGAGAGGGUGACCGGCCACAUUGGGACUGAGAUACGGCCCAGACUCCUACGGGAGGCAGCAGUGGGGAAUAUUGCACAAUGGGCGGAAGCCUGAUGCAGCAACGCCGCGUGCGGGAUGACGGCCUUCGGGUUGUAAACCGCUUUCGCCUGUGACGAAGCGUGAGUGACGGUAAUGGGUAAAGAAGCACCGGCUAACUACGUGCCAGCAGCCGCGGUGAUACGUAGGGUGCGAGCGUUGUCCGGAUUUAUUGGGCGUAAAGGGCUCGUAGGUGGUUGAUCGCGUCGGAAGUGUAAUCUUGGGGCUUAACCCUGAGCGUGCUUUCGAUACGGGUUGACUUGAGGAAGGUAGGGGAGAAUGGAAUUCCUGGUGGAGCGGUGGAAUGCGCAGAUAUCAGGAGGAACACCAGUGGCGAAGGCGGUUCUCUGGGCCUUUCCUGACGCUGAGGAGCGAAAGCGUGGGGAGCGAACAGGCUUAGAUACCCUGGUAGUCCACGCUGUAAACGGUGGGUACUAGGUGUGGGGUCCAUUCCACGGGUUCCGUGCCGUAGCUAACGCUUUAAGUACCCCGCCUGGGGAGUACGGCCGCAAGGCUAAAACUCAAAGGAAUUGACGGGGCCCCGCACAAGCGGCGGAGCAUGCGGAUUAAUUCGAUGCAACGCGUAGAACCUUACCUGGGUUUGACAUGGAUCGGGAGUGCUCAGAGAUGGGUGUGCCUCUUUUGGGGUCGGUUCACAGGUGGUGCAUGGCUGUCGUCAGCUCGUGUCGUGAGAUGUUGGGUUAAGUCCCGCAACGAGCGCAACCCUUGUUCACUGUUGCCAGCACGUUAUGGUGGGGACUCAGUGGAGACCGCCGGGGUCAACUCGGAGGAAGGUGGGGAUGACGUCAAGUCAUCAUGCCCCUUAUGUCCAGGGCUUCACGCAUGCUACAAUGGCUGGUACAGAGAGUGGCGAGCCUGUGAGGGUGAGCGAAUCUCGGAAAGCCGGUCUCAGUUCGGAUUGGGGUCUGCAACUCGACCUCAUGAAGUCGGAGUCGCUAGUAAUCGCAGAUCAGCAACGCUGCGGUGAAUACGUUCCCGGGGCUUGUACACACCGCCCGUCAAGUCAUGAAAGUUGGUAACACCCGAAGCCGGUG